AGAGGAUUUUGACUUUGCUUCUUUUCCAGAGAGAUCUGGGGCUGCCUAGCCCAGCCCUGCUGCUGGGGGCGUUGCUGCGAGGUGGCAAGUGGCCCACUGGAACAAAAGGCUCAUUCUGGCUCUGGCCAGGCUCUCGCACUGCGCAGCUCCCAAUUGUCCUUUGGAAAGAGCAGUGCUGGAGUGCCCAGUUUGUGCCCUCCUGUGGGGCACUGUCAUUCUAGAUAUUUUAGUCUUUUGUCAUGUAUAAUAAUAUAUCUGUACUAUUUGCAAGCAGUUAGUCAUCUGCUAGCCAGAAUGUUUUUUUUUUCCCUUGAGGAUGUUUAGGAUCACAUAACUCUUACAGGCAGAGGGGAAAAAAUCUGAAGAUGUUCAGAUUAGUCAUAUCACUGCUGCAGUUAUCUUCAUCCAGAGCCUUUUCUUUCUUUCCCCGUUAGAGCUCCUGAACUUGAGGGCUGUAUCUCAUCUCCAGCCUUUCCCAGAAUGACAAUUAUCAAGGCAAGCUGGAAGGCAAAGAGGAGUCCAGGUUGUACAGCCUCUAUCCAGUUAUUAUAUUUCUUUAUUUACUUGGGUUUUUUUGUUGUUGUUGUUUUUUGUUUUGUUUUUUUGUUUGUUUUGUUUUUUUAACACUUGAUAAAUCAUGCCAUGGAAAGCUGGGAAUGGGAGCAUAUGACCUGCUCUCCUAUUCCUGCCUUCCAGCAGCAGUUCUGGUUUCUCUGGGCACCCAUUCCCCUUCAGAAUGAGGUGUAAUAACCCCAUUUCUGUGUCUGUCAGAGGAGCUCUAAAGUUUUCUUCUUGCCUGAGAGCUCUGUCUGACCCCAGGCUAUGAUACCACUGCUGCUGUAAAGCACCUCCUGAUCACCCACAGGCUUUUAUCCUCAGAAAAUCCCCCUGUGGCAUUGCUUCCCCUGUUGAGGAGAGCCCUGGACUGUGGCCCCAGGUUGGCCUUUUUCUCCUGUGAAAUGCACGAUCCCCCCACAGCAGGGAAAAGCCACGUUUCAAGAGGUCGGGGAAGAGACUGCAAACCGGAAAACAAGGUAACGAAGAAACAGGAAAAACCUACGGAAAGAGAAAUGUCUUCACCUCCUCCCUCCUCUGCAGGGCACUCUUCUUCCUUUCGUUUUCUUUCUAAGCCGUAAAAGCGAAUACAAAACAUUAGAAAGGAGGCGGCCCGCUCCCCCUGCGCAAGGCGCGGCACAGGGGACAGGCCAAGGUGACACGGGGGGUGCCACGUCAGCUGUGCCCGAGCCUGCCAGC
RNAcentral lists this long non-coding RNA (1254 nucleotides) under Junco hyemalis (dark-eyed junco). RNAcentral's name for it is "lncRNA (ENSJHYG00000002340.1)". Lineage: Eukaryota; Metazoa; Chordata; Aves; Passeriformes; Passerellidae. The record is from RNAcentral.